Long non-coding RNA from Olea europaea var. sylvestris, 2454 nucleotides. RefSeq lists it as uncharacterized. Lineage: Eukaryota; Viridiplantae; Streptophyta; Magnoliopsida; Lamiales; Oleaceae. The transcript is spliced from 2 exons. The record is from RefSeq and is a predicted model, not a curated record.
GAUUUCCAAGCUUGGUGUUCUAUUUCUUCAAUUUCUCAUUUAAUUUAGAGAGGAAAAUACUCAAGGAACGCUUGUGAAGGGAUAUGAUUUAUUAUAGCGAGAGCAUGAUAUCAUACUUGGAAUUAGAAAGUGAUGAGGCGACGAGAAUAUCGAAACCAUGAUCUUUAACUUUAUGAGUGGAUAUAAACUUAUUUUUCAGAAAUUAGUAUUCAUUAAAUUUCUAUUAAAUCAGAAAAUCUAUUAUUUCAUAUAGUUGAUUUGACAGCAUGAUUUUCAGAAGAAAGUUGAUUCAUAAACAAUUGUUUUAAAAUUAAAUUCAGUUCAGUUAAAUUAUUUCACUGGCAUACUAAUUCAAUAUUAAAUACUUCAGCACAUUUAAAGUUAUUUUUAAAACCACCAGAAAGUACCCAAGUGAUUUUACCCGCUCUGCACUGGUGUGAAUGUGUUUCCACAGUGUAUGACCAGUUAUGGUGAUUUUACCCGCUCUGCAUUAUUGUGAAUAUGUUUCCAUGGUGUAUGACCAGAAUUACAGAAUUUCAGCUCUGCGGGCGUAUGACCAAAAUUUAAGAAUUAUAGAAUUCCAGAAUUACAGAAUUUCAAAACUGAAUAGCUUUGCCAUGUAUAUCGGUACUAACCGAUACAUGAGUAAGGUUAUUCCGGGUACCUUUUUCGUGUGAUGUUUCAAUAUUUUUCUAUAGCUUAUGAGAUCAUAUUAUAGAAUUCAGUUUUCAAAAUAAAGCUUUCAACUUAUAGUAUUGACCAGUAACAAUAUUUCAUAGAUUUUCAUGAAUUUCAGAUUAUUCGUUAAACUUUACAGCUACUUAUCUAGAAUGAAGAACAAAGAAUUUUAUUAUACAAUCAUUUUUUAGUUUUAAAAGUGUUACUAGUUUUCAGAAUUUCUCAAAGAUUUAAUAAAGCUAGAAUUUUUAAAAAAUAUGUAGAAAUGGAAAAAGUAUAUUUAUUUGCAAAUUAUCCACGCACUGAGCUAUAAGCCCAUAUGUCUUUUCACCUUUUUCCUUAUCAUAUAGAGGUACGCGUCAUAGGUUGUAUGGCCUACUUUAUCAGACUAUGUAGUACAUGUUUCUUUGGGUUAUAUGUAGUUUAUGUCAGAAAAGGUUAUCAUGUGUUCACUGCAUAUUUGGCGUCUUUAGUAUAUUUGAGAAUUGUUGGUUGUAAAGAAAGGAAAUGUUGAUUUGCCCACAUUUUAUUUGAAUAAUUUGUAUUUUGAAGAAUUGUCGUAUCCUAUUUAUAUUGUAGGUAUUGAUUUGAAGAAAACUAAUUAUUGUUAAGGUGAUUUUAGUUCAUAUUUCAAGGGGAACUCUGUCAUAAUUUUGUUAAAAAUAUUUUUCAAUCAAGCAAGUCAAGUUGCUUUGGUGGUGGGUCCGGUGUUUAGCUGGUGUCUACCAUCGGUGCAUGACACGUGUCGAAUCCAUUAAGGUGAUUCGGGACAGGUCAUGUCAUAGUAUGCAUUGGAGAUACUGGAAGAUGUUGGAUUUUUGGGACCUAAAUCAACAUGGUUUCCAAAGGAAUAAAACUUGGUUCUUACACAAUCCGAUGGAGACCUUUUUGGUGAUCCUUCGCCAAAUAGGCGCCUUGUGGGAAGAUUAAUCUACUAAAAUAUUACUAGACCAGAUUUGGUCUAUGUUGUUCAUGCUUUAAAUCAAUUUAUGGACAAACCACAUGUAACACAUCUUGAGGCAGCACAGAGUCCUUAAAUACUUGAAGCAAACAAGGUAUUUUAAUUUUCUCCAAAGCACACUUCAAUUAAAGGCAUUUUGUGAUGCGGAUUGGGCACGUUGCAAGGACGCAAGAAGAUCUAUAACAGGAUAUUUUGUAUUUCUUGGAGUAUCAUUCAUUUACCAGAAAAAAAUAAGCAGACUACGGUGGCCCAAUCAAUUGUCAAGGCAGAGUAUCGCGCUUUGUCUAAUAUAGGAUGUGAAAUUACUAAGUUGAAAAACGUCUUGAAAAACUUGGGAGUCAAGCAUCCUCAACCAGUCAUGUUGUUCUAUGAUAACUGAGCUGCUUUACGUAUUGCCUCAAAUCCAAUUUUUCAUGAACGAACAAAGCAUAUUGAAAUUGAUUGCCAUUUAGUUCGAGAAAAUAUUCAAGAAGGCUUGAUCAGAACAGCGCAUGUGAGGACCAAUGAUCAAACUGCAGACUUAUUUACUAAGGCAUUGAGUACAUCAGAGGUUGAAGUACUACUUAACAAGUUGGGUGGUCGUCAACAUCCACUUCAACUUGAAGGGGAGUGUUGAAGACAAUCAAGUAAAAUAGGAAAGAUGUAUAUUUUACUGUAAUAUUAAAGUAGGAAAGCAAAUAACCUGUAUCAAUGUAAUUAAUUAAUUUUAUUUUUUUAUUUUUUUAUAAUUCAAGUAAAAGAUAUAGCUAUUUUAUAGGCACUAGAAUAGAAUAUAAACUGCCUCUCUUGUGUAUGAAGUCAUGGACUUGGUAUUA